GUCCCUAUAGUUCAAUUGGAUAGAACAAGGCACUCCUAAGGCUUAGAUCCAGGUUCGAUUCCUGGUAGGGAUA
This 73-nucleotide transfer RNA is filed under the name Candidatus Dojkabacteria bacterium. RNAcentral describes it as "tRNA-Arg". It matches the Rfam family "tRNA". From Rfam's summary of the family: Transfer RNA (tRNA) molecules are approximately 80 nucleotides in length. Their secondary structure includes four short double-helical elements and three loops (D, anti-codon, and T loops). The record is from RNAcentral.